Molecule: long non-coding RNA, 266 nt
Filed under: Elaeis guineensis (African oil palm)
Lineage: Eukaryota; Viridiplantae; Streptophyta; Magnoliopsida; Arecales; Arecaceae
Description: long non-coding RNA (EGUI_LNC003935)
Source: RNAcentral
GGGCUAAAUACACCUUAUAUGGCCAUAUAUGCAAAUGUUUUGAAUAAAUAAUAUCUUUAGUCAAAAAUCCAGUCAGCUGAAACCGCUAAUAUCGAAUCACGAUAGUCUUCAUAUCAUUUAUUAAAAUAAGACCUCUCUACAGUUAUAAAUAUUAGCAAUCCCAUCAAUAUGGAUUCCAGUAAUAUAGUGCUUGUAGUAUGAACUCUAUAUCUAUGUGAUCAAAAUAUAUAGAGCUCAUCAUUAGUUCACUUUAUAGUCUCAAAUGA